AAUAGAUACCCGGGUAGUCCACGCCGUAAACGAUGGAUGCUAGCUAUUGGGGGGAAUCGACCCCCUCCGAAGCGAAGCUAACGCGUUAAGCAUCCCGCCUGAGUAGUACGAGCGCAAGCUUAAAACUCAAAGGAAUUGACGGGGACCCGCACAAGCGGUGGAGCGUGUGGUUUAAUUCGAUGGUAAACGAAGAACCUUACCAAGGUUUGACAUCCCGGUAGCCGUUCUCCGAAAGGAGAAUUUCAUUUAGUUGGACCGGUGACAGGUGAUGCAUGGCCGUCGUCAGCUCGUGUCGUGAGAUGUUGGGUUAAGUCCCGCAACGAGCGCAACCCUUAUGAUUUAGUUGGAUUUUUCUAAACAGACUGCCCUGGUAACAGGGAGGAAGGAGGGGAUGAUGUCAGGUCAGUAUUUCCCUUACACCUUGGGGCGACACACGCGCUACAGUGGCCGGUACAAUGGGCAGCUAAGCCGCGAGGUGGAGCAAAUCCCAUCAAAGCCGGUCCCAGUUCGGAUUGCAGGCUGAAACCCGCCGCAUGAAGCCGGAAUCGCUAGUAACC
RNAcentral lists this ribosomal RNA (557 nucleotides) under uncultured bacterium. Its description in RNAcentral is "bacterial SSU rRNA". It matches the Rfam family "Bacterial small subunit ribosomal RNA", at positions 777 to 1343 of the family's 1533-position model. The record is from RNAcentral.